GAGGUAGCCAUCAAUAUAUAUAUUUUAUUUUUUUUUUAAUUGGGGUAGCCCCCAAAAUAUUGGGACAUAUAAAAAAAAGACAACUCUGUUCUGCAGAGUAGCUGUUGACAUUAUAGUUGCGCAGGAACUUUGUUGACUCUAGAGAACCUCGGGCAAAUCGCACAUCCCCGUGGCAGCGACUUUGCAUGCGGAUGUCAUCCAUAUCAACUUUCGAUGCCAGUUUCUGCGCCUACCAUGGUGACCACGGGUAACGGGGAAUCAGGGUUCCAUUCCAUACAGGGAUCCUGAGAAAUGGCUACCACAUGCAAAGAAGGCAGCAGGAGCGCAAAUGACCCACUCCCGACGCGAGAAGGUAG
RNAcentral lists this ribosomal RNA (356 nucleotides) under Pelobates cultripes (western spadefoot toad). RNAcentral describes it as "SSU_rRNA_microsporidia". It matches the Rfam family "Eukaryotic small subunit ribosomal RNA", at positions 106 to 467 of the family's 1831-position model. The record is from RNAcentral. Lineage: Eukaryota; Metazoa; Chordata; Amphibia; Anura; Pelobatidae.